UAUAUUUCCUUUGUUUAUGUUUCUUUAUUGUUCCAAAACCAAAUUGUUCACACCAAUUUCCUAAUUCUUUUCUAGAUUGUCUAUUUUCCAUUUUUAAUUUCUAUUGUAAUUUUAUGUCUCUGCAUAAUCUUAUUCCUGUUAAGUUUACACAUGUGAUUAGAUCUCCAUAGGUUAAAUCAUCAUAUGAAAUGUGUCCAUAUUUUUGUUCAAUUGUUUCUUUUACUUUUGUUGAAAAUAACCUAGGUAAUCCUGUUAGGAAUUUCUCUUUCCAAUGGUAAGCGUUUGGAUCUGCUAAUGCAUAUACUCUUUUUAAGAAAUUGUCUUUAUACCAUCUAAAAUUUUCUAGUUUUCGACAUUUAAGAUUUUGUAAUAUUUCACUAUUUCUUUCUGUAUACAAAUCUAAAUCUCCUAUGAAAUGUGAUAUAAUAUUGUAAACUAGGUAUGCUAAGGUAAAGGAUUGUGGUUGGCCUGUAGAUGGGUCUAUAACAAAUUCGCCUGUAGUAUUAUCAAUUCUUCUGGCUGUUAAUAUAUUAUUUUUUAUUUCAUUACUUAGUAAUUUGUCCCACCAAGUUCUUAAUUCUCCAGUAAAUCCUAAUAUUAUGUUUUCAGCUGCUUCUCUUUCAGUAAUUCCAAC
This 634-nucleotide long non-coding RNA is filed under the name Manihot esculenta (cassava). Its description in RNAcentral is "long non-coding RNA (MESC_LNC006609)". Lineage: Eukaryota; Viridiplantae; Streptophyta; Magnoliopsida; Malpighiales; Euphorbiaceae. The record is from RNAcentral.